AUACGAAGGGGGCAAGCGUUGUUCGGAAUAACUGGGCGUAAAGCGCACGUAGGCGGAAUGUUAAGUUAGAGGUGAAAUCCCAGGGCUCAACCCUGGAACUGCCUUUAAUACUGGCAAUCUAGAGACCGAGAGAGGUGAGUGGAAUUCCGAGUGUAGAGGUGAAAUUCGUAGAUAUUCGGAGGAACACCAGUGGCGAAGGCGGCUCACUGGCUCGGUACUGACGCUGCGGUGCGAAAGCGUGGGGAGCAAACAGGAUUAGAUACCCUAGUAGUCC
Molecule: ribosomal RNA, 274 nt
Filed under: uncultured bacterium
Lineage: Bacteria
Description: partial 16S ribosomal RNA
Rfam family: Bacterial small subunit ribosomal RNA
Source: RNAcentral